CUUGCACCUGCUUUCCAUAUAUAUGUGCCUACUUUGUUGAAUUCUGGCCACUUCCAAUGCAGCAUCAGUAUUCAGUUGCCAUGUGAUGGUGGGGCAUAACAUUCAUUUUGUGAUCUUCUUCACUAGAUUGAUGGAUGGCCUAACAUGCCUCAACUUGGGAGGUAACAAUGAAGGUGACGCUUACCAUGGAGGCUCACCAAAAAUGGGUCAGGUUCUCUCUGUCCUCUCCUCGCCAGAAACGAUCAUGAAAAUAGGCAUGGAUGGUUGGAAAAUGAAGCUGGUGACAAGUGGAGUCAGGAGCUAAAAAUAGCUCGUUCGUCUACUGUCAGGAUCACCUGAAAUCUAAGCCUAAAGCUCUCAGUCAACAUUCACAUUCCUCUCCCUUUCCCGUUACCAUGGCUACUAUUUGACGCCACUCUACCACUCGCCAACGUCGGUAAAGAAAGGAGAUGGGUGGGGAUGGAGGCUCACUGAGUAAUGUUUGUUGGUGAAGGAAAAAAUAGGAAAGGAGAGGACUUUAAUAAUGAGAGAGUAGCUAAAUAAAUG
This 546-nucleotide unclassified non-coding RNA is filed under the name Hevea brasiliensis (rubber tree). Lineage: Eukaryota; Viridiplantae; Streptophyta; Magnoliopsida; Malpighiales; Euphorbiaceae. The record is from RNAcentral.